This 913-nucleotide small RNA is filed under the name uncultured Cryptococcus. RNAcentral's name for it is "eukaryotic LSU rRNA". The stretch from base 627 to 913 matches the Rfam family "Eukaryotic large subunit ribosomal RNA", at positions 1 to 281 of the family's 3401-position model. Lineage: Eukaryota; Fungi; Basidiomycota; Tremellomycetes. The record is from RNAcentral.
CUUGGUCAUUUAGAGGAAGUAAAAGUCGUAACAAGGUUUCCGUAGGUGAACCUGCGGAAGGAUCAUUAGUGAAUUGAAUAUGUUAGCGGACCUCUUCGGAGUCCCUAGCAUCAAAUCAUAUCCAUAACACCUGUGAACUGUAAGGCUGUCUUGAAAACGAAAGUGAUUAGAGCGCCUGCCCAUUUUAUACAAACAUUAAAGUAACAAACGUAGUCUUAUUAUAAUCUAAUAAAACUUUCAACAACGGAUCUCUUGGCUCUCGCAUCGAUGAAGAACGCAGCGAAAUGCGAUAAGUAAUGUGAAUUGCAGAAUUCAGUGAAUCAUCGAAUCUUUGAACGCACCUUGCGCUCUUUGGUAUUCCGAAGAGCAUGCCUGUUUGAGUGUCAUGAAAAUAUCAACCUUGACUUGGGUUUAGUGCUCUUGUCUUGGCUUGGAUUUGGCUGUUUGCCGCUCGAAAGAGUCGGCUCAGCUUAAAAGUAUUAGCUGGAUCUGUCUUUGAGACUUGGUUUGACUUGGCGUAAUAAGUUAUUUCGCUGAGGACAAUCUUCGGAUUGGCCGAGUUUCUGGGACGUUUGUCCGCUUUCUAAUACAAGUUCUAGCUUGCUAGACAUGACUUUUUUAUUAUCUGGCCUCAAAUCAGGUAGGACUACCCGCUGAACUUAAGCAUAUCAAUAAGCGGAGGAAAAGAAACUAACAAGGAUUCCCCUAGUAACGGCGAGUGAAGCGGGAAGAGCUCAAAUUUGAAAUCUGGUGGCCUCAGGCUAUCCGAGUUGUAAUCUAUAGAAACAUUUUCCGCGUUGGCCCAUGUACAGGUCUCUUGGAAUAGAGCGUCAUAGAGGGUGAGAAUCCCGUCCUUGACAUGGACUACCAGUGCUUUGUGAUAUGUUUUCAACGAGUCGAGUUGUUUGGGAAU